GAAGCGCCGUUUGCAGAGCUAAUUUUUCACCGAGAGGAAUCGCGAAAUAAAGCGCACCACGGUAAUAUGAUAUCAUGGUGUAAGCCGACUUGAGUUUUUCUUUUCCAAAGAGUUUCCUGUCGAUAUUUUCUUGACUAUUUCGACACUUUUCUCUCGGUGCACGCUCAAUGUGGAUAUGGAAUUUCUGUUGCGUGUCAUCGUUUUGUACACUUCGCUGACAACUGCAAUAAGUACAGAUUCACCAGUCAACGAACUGGUCAAACUGCAGCAAGACUAUUUGGACUGGAGACUGGAAGAUCACCCGGAGUAUGGCACGAUGUACAACAUCACAACAUACAGCGACAAACUGGAAUCAUACAAUAUGACCAUGUUUCAAGUUAGAAAGGAUAAGGCAAGCAGUCUGCUCAUGCGCUUACGAAAGGUCAAAGUUGACGAAUUACCGAAAAAAGAAAAGAUGAACUACAAGAUACUGGAAACUAUGUUGUCGUCAUAUGUCGAUGGAUAUAAAUGGGUUAUGUACAGCAACUUGAACCCCGUGUCGCAUCUCAUAGGUCCGCAGAUCGACCUAGAGUACGUGAUGUCUCGAACACGGUUUAAGACGAAGGCCGAUUUUGAAAAUUACAUCAGCAGAUUGCGACUAUUACCACAAAAGUUUGCAGAAUACAAAGUAUUAAUGAACGAAGCCAUCCGACUGAGAAGAACCAAUCACGUGGUAUCACUGAAAGGGAUUGGGAAGCAGUUCGAAGCGCUGCAGGUUCCAGUAAAUGAAUCUGUCUUCUACUCGCCGUUUGCAACAAACAUCUACGCUACAGACGUAUCGGAAUCAGAUAGAACUGAGUCUGCAGGUAACUAAGCUGGUUUCCAUUCCUUGAUCCGCCUGCCCGAACACACGAAUGAAUGCUUCUGACACAGUGUUGAACAGUUGCCACUCACACACGCCACAAUGGAAUCCAUGGUGUGUUUCGUUCUCAACAAUGGUGUAGACCGCUUGAGUUGCAGGCUGGAGGGGUGUGCUCGAGUUCCCACCGAACAGUCUGUUGUUGUAACGGCAGUCUCCCUCAACACUUAUCUUGUGAUCACUGGAAAUUUUCCAAGGCAUUUGGAACAGCUGGGUGAGGCCGAAGUAAUCGCAUAUUGCCAA
RNA transcript from Gigantopelta aegis, 1141 nucleotides. RefSeq lists it as uncharacterized. The record is from RefSeq and is a predicted model, not a curated record. NCBI's taxonomy places the organism in Eukaryota, Metazoa, Mollusca, Gastropoda, Neomphalida, Peltospiridae. The transcript is spliced from 9 exons.